AAAAGAGCCAUUUGGAGGUGCAACUCUCUUGUGAGAAGGUUUCCACAUAAACAAACUUUGAAAUAGAAUUGCAAUUGUUCACAUGGAUGUCUGUAGAUUCCAAGUGUGUGGUAUGUUUCAUGGAGUAUUUUUUUCAUCAAUAUCUGUCGAGGAUUCUUCAAAUAGCCCGGUGCCUCUCUCAGAAUCUAUUAAGAAGCAGUUUCAGGAAUGUAGAGCUCUCCAGAGCCCCAUUUCAGCUGCUACAGUAAGGUGAAAAAACUGAAGGAGAGUGACUUAUUCUAAGUCACACCCUUAGGAUCUGGCAGAAAGAAAAAUGAACUGAGGCUUUCUGGAUCCUUCCUACUUUCUACCUCUGGCUGCUGCCUCUCUUGGCCACUCUAGAGCAUCGUGUGAUGCUGUGCCCCCCGGUACAUAGUUGUAUAUUCUUAGUUGUGGAUCCUUCUAGUUGUGGCAUGUGGGACGCUGCCUCAGCGUGGUUUGAUGAGCAGUGCCAUGUCCGUGCCCAGGAUUCGAACCAACGAAACACUAGGCCGCCUGCAGCGGAGCACUCGAACUUAACCACUCGGCCACGGGGCCAGCCCCUCAAUGUUGUCUCUUGGAUGUGAAGGUGAUGGUAUGGCUCCCAUGAAAGGCGGGUGUGAAUCCAUUCAUCUCAUCGUCCCUCACGUGACAAUGGUGGACAUUUCCAAGCUGUUUGGGAUUCAUGAGUAAUGAAGCCUUGAAAUGAAGUAAAACAAACUGGUCCUUCUGGCAAUGAAGUCUUUUUUUCGUCUUAUGAUCUACUUUAGAGAUCAUUUUUUAAAAUUGAGUUCAUAAUAGCUUACAUCAUUGUGAAAUUUCAGUUGUACAUUAUUUCUUAUCUGUCACCACAUAAGUGCUCCCCUUCACCCUUGAGCCCAUUCCCCACCUCCCUUCCCCUGGUAACCAGUAAACUGUUUUCUUU
Molecule: long non-coding RNA, 943 nt
Filed under: Equus caballus (horse)
Lineage: Eukaryota; Metazoa; Chordata; Mammalia; Perissodactyla; Equidae
Description: lncRNA (ENSECAG00000057761.1)
Source: RNAcentral